RNAcentral lists this ribosomal RNA (248 nucleotides) under uncultured bacterium. RNAcentral describes it as "partial 16S ribosomal RNA". It matches the Rfam family "Bacterial small subunit ribosomal RNA", at positions 523 to 769 of the family's 1533-position model. The record is from RNAcentral.
AUACGGUAGGGGGCAAGCGUUAUCCGGAAUUACGUGGGCGUAAAGGGUGCGUAGGUGGCCUGACAAGUCAGGGGUCAAAGGCAACGGCUCAACCGUUGUAAGCCCUUGAAACUGUCGGGCUUGAGUUCAGGAGAGGAAAGCGGAAUUCCUAGUGUAGCGGUGAAAUGCGUAGAUAUUAGGAGGAACACCAGUGGCGAAGGCGGCUUUCUGGACUGAUACUGACACUGAGGCACGAAAGCGUGGGGAGC